Molecule: ribosomal RNA, 696 nt
Filed under: uncultured bacterium
Lineage: Bacteria
Description: bacterial SSU rRNA
Rfam family: Bacterial small subunit ribosomal RNA
Source: RNAcentral
UAACGCGUGAGGAACCUGCCUCAAAGAGGGGGACAACAGUUGGAAACGACUGCUAAUACCGCAUAAGCCCACAGCUCGGCAUCGAGCAGAGGGAAAAGGAGCAAUCCGCUUUGAGAUGGCCUCGCGUCCGAUUAGCUAGUUGGUGAGGUAACGGCCCACCAAGGCGACGAUCGGUAGCCAGACUGAGAGGUUGAACGGCCACAUUGGGACUGAGACACGGCCCAGACUCCUACGGGAGGCAGCAGUGGGGAAUAUUGCACAAUGGGGGAAACCCUGAUGCAGCGACGCCGCGUGGAGGAAGAAGGUCUUCGGAUUGUAAACUCCUGUUGUUGAGGAAGAUAAUGACGGUACUCAACAAGGAAGUGACGGCUAACUACGUGCCAGCAGCCGCGGUAAAACGUAGGUCACAAGCGUUGUCCGGAAUUACUGGGUGUAAAGGGAGCGCAGGCGGGAGAACAAGUUGGAAGUGAAAUCCAUGGGCUCAACCCAUGAACUGCUUUCAAAACUGUUUUUCUUGAGUAGUGCAGAGGUAGGCGGAAUUCCCGGUGUAGCGGUGGAAUGCGUAGAUAUCGGGGGGAACACCAGUGGCGAAGGCGGCCUACUGGGCACCAACUGACGCUGAGGCUCGAAAGUGUGGGUAGCAAACAGGAUUAGAUACCCUGGUAGUCCACACCGUAAACGAUGAUUACUAGGUGU